Molecule: ribosomal RNA, 1368 nt
Filed under: Limonius californicus
Lineage: Eukaryota; Metazoa; Arthropoda; Insecta; Coleoptera; Elateridae
Description: 16S ribosomal RNA
Rfam family: Archaeal large subunit ribosomal RNA (bases 890-1243)
Source: RNAcentral
GGUUCAUUGUGCGAUUCAAUGUGAUUUGAAAUAAGGAAAUAAUUAUUUAGUUAAAAAUUAGUGAGAGUAUUCUUUAGUUUUAGUAUAUGUUUAGGGAAAAAUUAUGUUUAUUAUAGAUUAUUAGUAAAGUGAUUGGAAUUUGAAAUAUCUUUUUUUUAAUAAUAAGAAAAAUUAAUUUUUUGUACCUUGUGUAUCAGGGUUGAUUAAUUUAAGUCUAAUUAUUUAGUUUUCUCGAAUUGGAAAGAGUUAAUUGGCUAUUUAUUUAAUUGUUACAUAAAUUUUUUGAAUAGUCUUUUUGAAGUGAAACGUUAUUCGUUUUCUGUUAUAUCUAGUUUUUUAAGAAAGGAAUUUAAUUCUGUUAUUAUUUUUAUGAUUUUAUAUUUUAAUUUCAUGAGCUUAAUAUUAAACAUUCAAUGGGAUGAGCUUUUGAUUGUAAAUUUAAAAAUUCUCUUUAUUUUAAUAAUUUAUAUGAUUAGAAUUGUCAAUUUUUAUAAUAAUUUUAUAGUUAAUUUUUAUUUUUAUAUAAUUUUUAUUUUUUUUAAGUUUUAUAUUAAAAUGUAAUUUUGAAUUUUUAUUUAUUUAGUGAUAAUGAUUAAAUUAGUAAAUUUGAAUUGUUUAAUUGAUUGGGGUUGUAAGGUUUUUUAAAGGAAUUCGGCAAUAUAAAUUUUUCCGCCUGUUUAUUAAAAACAUGUCUUUUUGAUUAUAAUUUAAGGUUUGGUCUGCUCAAUGAGGAUUUAAAUUGCCGCGGUAUUUUGACCGUGCAAAGGUAGCAUAAUAAUUAGUUUUUUUAUUGAAAGCUGGAAUGAAGGAUUGGACGAGAAAAAUACUGUCUCUAUUAGAUUUAUUAUUAAAAUUAACUUUUAAGUUAAAAGGCUUAAAUUUUACUUAAAGACGAGAAGACCCUAUAGAGUUUUAUAGCUUAGUUGUGGGGAGUUUUUGGUUAUUUUAUUUCUUUAUGAUGAAUGUUAUUUGGUUGGGGUGACUUAAAGAUUUAGUAAACUCUUUAAAUUUGAAGUUAUUGAUUUGUAAAUAAUUAAUCUAAUUUUUUUAAAUUUAAAAUAAAUUACCUUAGGGAUAACAGCGUAAUUUUUCUUUAGAGUUCUUAUUGAAAGGGAAGUUUGCGACCUCGAUGUUGGAUUAAAAUUAAUUUUUGGUGUAGAAGCUAAAUAAUUGGGUCUGUUCGACCUUUAAAAUUUUACAUGAUCUGAGUUUAAACCGGUGUGAGCCAGGUUGGUUUCUAUCUUGAUUAUUGUUAUUAUACUUUAGUACGAAAGGACCAAGUAUUGGAUAUAUUUAUUUUUGUUUGUGGAUAUUAGUGUUACUUUGGCAGAUUAGUGCAAUUGAUUUAGAAUCUUUAUAUGUAAAUUU